This 240-nucleotide ribosomal RNA is filed under the name uncultured bacterium. RNAcentral's name for it is "partial 16S ribosomal RNA". It matches the Rfam family "Bacterial small subunit ribosomal RNA", at positions 15 to 236 of the family's 1533-position model. The record is from RNAcentral.
GAUCCUGGCUCAGGAUGAACGCUGGCGGCGUGCUUAACACAUGCAAGUCGAACGAAGCACUUUAACCUGAUUCUUCGGAUGAAGGUUUUUGUGACUGAGUGGCGGACGGGUGAGUAACGCGUGGGUAACCUGCCUCAUACAGGGGGGAUAACAGUUAGAAAUGACUGCUAAUACCGCAUAAGACCACAGAGUCGCAUGGCUCAGUGGGAAAAACUCCGGUGGUAUGAGAUGGACCCGCGU